AUACGUAGGGGGCAAGCGUUAUCCGGAUUUACUGGGUCGUAAAGGGUGCGUAGGUGGUUUCUUAAGUCAGAGGUGAAAGGCUACGGCUCAACCGUAGUAAGCCUUUGAAACUGGGAAACUUGAGUGCAGGAGAGGAGAGUGGAAUUCCUAGUGUAGCGGUGAAAUGCGUAGAUAUUAGGAGGAACACCAGUUGCGAAGGCGGCUCUCUGGACUGUAACUGACACUGAGGCACGAAAGCGUGGGGAGC
RNAcentral lists this ribosomal RNA (247 nucleotides) under uncultured bacterium. RNAcentral describes it as "partial 16S ribosomal RNA". It matches the Rfam family "Bacterial small subunit ribosomal RNA", at positions 523 to 769 of the family's 1533-position model. The record is from RNAcentral.